GGAUUGGAGUCUGCAACUCGACUCCAUGAAGUCGGAAUCGCUAGUAAUCGCAAAUCAGAAUGUUGCGGUGAAUACGUUCCCGGGCCUUGUACACACCGCCCGUCACACCAUGGGAGUGGGUUGCACCAGAAGUAGAUAGCUUAACCUUCGGGAGGGCGUUUACCACGGUGUGAUUCAUGACUGGGGUGAAGUCGUAACAAGGUAACCCUAGGGGAACCUGGGGUUGGAUCACCUCCUUA
Molecule: ribosomal RNA, 239 nt
Filed under: Aeromonas dhakensis
Lineage: Bacteria; Pseudomonadati; Pseudomonadota; Gammaproteobacteria; Aeromonadales; Aeromonadaceae
Description: partial 16S ribosomal RNA
Rfam family: Bacterial small subunit ribosomal RNA
Source: RNAcentral